AUGAUGAUUAUUCCCCACCUUCUAAGAGACAAAGACCAACGAGCCACCACAGCCACCAGUCCCAGAACCCGCCAAUGCUGGGGAACGGAAAAUGAGGGAGUUCAACUCUGAGAAAUGGAAUCAUCGUAUCGCUGAUCUACGUAAACAAACUGAAGAAUUGUCUGAAAGAAAAUAUGCUCGAGCUGUAAAAGCCAAAGGUCUGGUGAUGAUCCCAUACCCUUUUUUCCAGUCUCAUGUUGAAGAUUUUUAUGUAGAAGGCCUUCCCAAAGGAUUUUUAGGAAGGCUUUCUACUAAUGGAAUUCCUGGCCUUGAGAGGAUGUUACUUUCGAAGGAAAGGAUUUUUUUGUUAUUAAAAGGUAA
This 360-nucleotide long non-coding RNA is filed under the name Homo sapiens (human). RNAcentral describes it as "non-protein coding lnc-TP53BP2-8:6". Lineage: Eukaryota; Metazoa; Chordata; Mammalia; Primates; Hominidae. The record is from RNAcentral.